RNAcentral lists this ribosomal RNA (301 nucleotides) under uncultured bacterium. RNAcentral's name for it is "partial 16S ribosomal RNA". It matches the Rfam family "Bacterial small subunit ribosomal RNA", at positions 509 to 807 of the family's 1533-position model. The record is from RNAcentral.
CAGUAGCCACGGUAAUACGUAGGUGGCAAGCGUUGUCCGGAAUUAUUGGGCGUAAAGGGCUCGCAGGCGGUUUCUUAAGUCUGAUGUGAAAGCCCCCGGCUCAACCGGGGAGGGUCAUUGGAAACUGGGAAACUUGAGUACAGAAGAGGAGAGUGGAAUUCCACGUGUAGCGGUGAAAUGCGUAGAGAUGUGGAGGAACACCAGUGGCGAAGGCGACUCUCUGGUCUGUAACUGACGCUGAGGAGCGAAAGCGUGGGGAGCAAACAGGAUUAGAUACCCGAGUAGUCCCUGUCUCUUAUAC